CCAUGAUCAGAUUGACAUCAAGUACUUUGUCGUCUCGGCUGCACCCAGACCCACCGAGGGGGUUUAAUAGAACUUGAGCCAGUGAAGAAGCUAGUCUUGGAAAUUGUAUUCUCUCUUGUAUGGUGUACCGCAUUUUGACACACUCAGAGUAUCGGAUGCGCCUGUUUUAGCUAAAUGAGUACCAGAUUAUGUUUUCUUACGCAUUUCUGCCUAAUGUUGCAAUUGCCUGACGUUUCAUGAGUGCAUCUUUCCUGUCGAAUGUUGCAAUUGACUGAAACUUCAUGAGUGCAUUUUUUUUGCUCAUCUACUAUGUAUUUUGCUAGGGAUGCAAAGCGGCGCCCGGAUCCGUCCUGCUUCGUAUACAAAAUUAAAAUUAGUUGUAGCUUUUGUUUGAUAGAGUUAGUUUAUUUUGUACUAGCUGAUUGAUUUCGUGGGGCUAAGCGGGAUGCCAGCUUGCAUCCCUAUAUUUUGCUCCCCAGCACAAAUUUAUCUUCCACAGCAUGCUUGCUGGAAUCUAACGAAGAUAUGCAAAUGCUAUGGAUGUGUUCCCUUGUUAAUCUAUUGAUCGAACUUUUCAGUCCAAUGUAGUCGAAAAUGCUGUCACUGAAUUAUUAUAAAAAGUAUAGUAAAAGAUUAUAUUCUCACUGUCAGAUAUGCAUUUUUCGACCGUGUCACCUACAAAAAUUUGACACGUAUACUUGUCACUGACAAAAAGACUCUGAAAAUUCAUCUGGAUUUUAAAAAAAGAAUAGCCAAAAAAGGAAAUUCGUCUUUUAAGACGAAAAAAAAA
RNAcentral lists this long non-coding RNA (790 nucleotides) under Triticum aestivum (bread wheat). Its description in RNAcentral is "long non-coding RNA (TAES_LNC001006)". The record is from RNAcentral. Lineage: Eukaryota; Viridiplantae; Streptophyta; Magnoliopsida; Poales; Poaceae.